AAUAUGGCAUUGUGUACUGACGAACAACACAGCAAUCUCAGAACUUCCGUAGACCUGUUUUUCACUUACGUUUGUCAUUACGCCUGUGUGGUGUUCUGUGCUCAUUAAAAACGAGCGAAAAUGAGUCAUCUUUCACCGUGCAACCUCCCAGAGAUUUCCCCGGAUGCUGUCAGUGGCUUGCGGCUAUCGAGAAUGAUGGCGCGCAUUAUUAAGGUGACCAAAGAUUAUCAGAGGUGUUUUCAGGCUGAACUGUUGGGGAAUCCAUUUCGACGACAGCUGAGAAGUGAUGCGAUACCAUCGAUUUUGUAUUUUUUAUUUCCUUCACAACAAAAUGCAAGAUUCUCGAUAAGAGGUGGUACAGAAUCGGCUUCCAACCCCAACUCUGCAGGUGAAGGCAAGUUGGCAAAAAUAUUUACAAGCUGACGACUAAGAGAGCUCAAUUUAAAGUACACAUGGUAUUAACAUGAAUUGGGUAGUUUUUGUUUUGCUUGUUAUGGGGUUACAGGUGGUUAAAGGUAACCAGAGGACCACAGAGUACCUUCCAGACCAUGCAAUUAAUAAUAUUUUAUUAUUUUUACCUUUUUAACUAGGCAAGUCGGUUAAGAACAAAUUCUUAUUUACAAUGACGGCCUACUGGAGAACAGUGGGGUAACUGCCUUGUUCAAGGGCAGAACAGAUGUUUACCUUGUCAGCUUGGGCGAUCCAAUCUUGCAACCUUACAGUUAACUUGUCCAACGCAAUAACGACCUGCCUCUCUCGAUCUCCACACUGCCUGUUACGCGAAUGCAGUAAGCCAAGGUAAGUUGCUAGCUAGCAUUAAACUUAUCUUAUAAAAAACAAUCAUAAUCACUAGUUAACUACACAUGGUUGAUAUUACUAGAUAUUAUCUAGCGUGUCCUGCGUUGCAUAUAAUCUGACUGAGCAUACAGGUAUCUAAGUAUCUGACUGAGCGGUGGUAGGCAGAAGCAGGCGCGUAAACAUUAAUUCAAACAGCACUUUCGUGCGUUUUGCCAGCAGCUCUUCGUUGUGCGUCAAGCAUUGCACUGUUUAUGACUUCAAGCCUAUCAACUCCUGAGAUGAGGCUGGUGUAACCGAUGUGAAAUGGCUAGCUAGUUAGCUCGCGCUAAUAGCGUUUCAAAACGUCAAUCGCUCUGAGCCUGUGGUUGUUUCCCUUGCUCUGCAUGGGUAACGCUGCUUCGAGUGUGGCUGUUGUCGAUGUGUUCCUGGUUCGAGCCCAGGGAGGAGCGAGGAGAGGGACGGAAGCUAUAUUGUUACACUGGCAAUCCUAAAGUGACUAUAAGAACAUCCAAUAGUCAAAGGUUAAUGAAAUACAAAUGGUAUAGAAGGAAAUAGUCCUAUAAUAACUACAACCUAAAACUUCUUACCUGGGAAUAUUGAAGACUCAUGUUAAAAGGAACCACCAGCUUUCAUAUGUUCUGAGCAAGGAACAUAAACGUUAGCUUUCUUAAAUGGCACAUAUUGCACUUUUACUUACUUCUCCAACACUUUGUUUUUGCAUUAUUUAAACCAAAUUGAACGUUUCAUUAUUUACUUGAGGCUAAAUUGAUUUUAUUGAUGUAUUAUAUUAAGUUAAAAUAAGUGUUCAUUCAGUAUGGUUGUAAUUGUCAUUAUUACAAAUAAAUAAAUAUUGGCCUUUUUGGUCCUCCAAUAAUAGGUAUCGGCGUUGAAAAAUCAUAAUCGGUCGACCUCUAAUCUGGAGUUAUUCUAUGGUGCCCUGCUGAAGCAUACCCCCCAAAGUGUUGUAAUUUUGAGUACACAAGCAUGAGGGAGCAGACACACCUUAAGGUUAUGGAGCACAACAAGAUUUUGGGACACUGAAAGGUAUAAAAUCAAGACUACAACAGUAAUAACACAACCACUUCAUUCUUCUCAAAACACAGUACACAGACAUGUCUACAAAAAGCCCCUGCAAAUGGCUACUAUUGACCAGAAUUAUGUGUCAAUGGCCUGGGGGAGGUUUACAGACAGUACUUUGAGAUGAGGAAGGGGUUUUUGGUUUUGCAGGGUGGUGCUUAGACCAUCGUUUCCUAAACUUGGCCCUGGGGAUCCCAAGGGGUGCAUGUUUUGGUAGUUGCCUUAGCAAUACACAAGUGAUUCAAAUAAUGAAAUCUUCAUCAAGCUUUGGUUAUUCUAAUCAGCUAUGUCAUGCUAUGGCAAAAACCAAAGUGUACACUCCUUUGGGUUCCCAGGACUGAGUUUGGAAAUGCUGGCUUAGAAAGUAAAUGUAUUGUUGUGUAUCAGUGAUUGAGGUGCCAUUUCUCCUCAAACUCCCUGUGUAAGAAUUGCCCUCCUAAGACUUUUCACCCAUUCUUUAGCACCCCAGCCCAUUCACUUGGUUGACUGAUCUUUCCUCUCAAAGGCAGCUCCCAAUGUUCCCUCAUUGGCCCUUAACAAUAAGCUAGCCGGUCCCAUUUGGUUGACACCUUUACCAACAAAGGCGUGUUACCCUACGUCCCUUCCAAAAAUAUAAAAUGCUAACAUCACAACCAUGUCUUGACAGGAGACUUGCAGGACCAGCAAAUAUUCUGCAAGAGGCCCAAACAUGUGUUUUAAGAAGCCCUCCGCCACUUUCGUCAGAGUCUUAUCCAGCUGACCGUUCACCGCAGAGAGGACAAGACCAUUCGUCAUAAGCACAGAGUCUCAGCUUCCCCAGCCCACCAUGCUGAACACCACUGCCAGUGUACCGAAGCCAGAUAAAGGACUAUGGCUGCGUUUACACAGGUAGCCCAAUUCUGAUAUUUCUUUCCACAAAUUGUUAUUUUGUUAUAAUCAGAUCAGUUCUGAAAAGGCCAAUUAAUGGGAAGAAUAUCAGAAUUGGUCUGCCUUUGUAAAUGCAAUUUGUGUAGCGCAGCAAAAGACCAUGUAGAACCACUAGAAAAUAAAUAUGGAUAUUUUAUAUCAGUCUUCUAAAUUUGUCUGCCUUUAUGGAUUCACAGAAGAUAUUUAUAUAAGCUGUACAGGGCUCUAUAGCAUAAAACAUGCUUGGCGUCCAGAUAUGUCAAAAUAAAAAAUGCAGGGUAGUGUACACUAUUUAAUGCUACUGGGUAUUCAACAGCAAUGUUAUAUGGUAAAUGUAACAUCCAUUUUUUUUUUUAUUAACAGUGUGGCACAGUUCAGUGCAGGAGUAGCUUCGGGACAAGUCUCUAAAUGUCCUUAAGUGGCCCAGCCAGAGCCUGGACUUGAACCCAAUCCAAUAUCUCUGUAAGAGACCUGAAAAUAGCUGUGCAGCAAUGCUACCCAUCCAACCUGACAGUGCUUGACAGGAUCUGCAGAGAAGAAUGGGGGGGGGGGGAACUCCCCAAAAUACAGGUGUGCCAUGCUUGUACCAUCAUACCCAAGAAGACCCUAUGCUGUAAUUGCUGCCAAAGGUGCUUCAACAAAGUACUGAGUAAAGGAUCUUUAAUACUUAUGUAAAUGUGAUAUUUCUGUUCGUUUUUUGUAAAUUAGCAACAGCAACAAAAAAUAAACUGUUUGCUUUGUCAUGGGA
Long non-coding RNA from Oncorhynchus masou masou (cherry salmon), 3508 nucleotides. RefSeq lists it as uncharacterized. The transcript is spliced from 2 exons. The record is from RefSeq and is a predicted model, not a curated record. Lineage: Eukaryota; Metazoa; Chordata; Actinopteri; Salmoniformes; Salmonidae.